GGGCGGGUAGCUCAGCUGGUUAGAGCACUGCGUUGACAUCGCAGAGGUCGCAGGUUCGAGCCCUGUCUCGCCCA
RNAcentral lists this transfer RNA (74 nucleotides) under Chloroflexi bacterium RBG_16_51_16. Its description in RNAcentral is "tRNA-Val". It matches the Rfam family "tRNA". Rfam says of the family: Transfer RNA (tRNA) molecules are approximately 80 nucleotides in length. Their secondary structure includes four short double-helical elements and three loops (D, anti-codon, and T loops). The record is from RNAcentral. RNAcentral also lists the same sequence under 3 other names. Lineage: Bacteria; Bacillati; Chloroflexota.